Molecule: ribosomal RNA, 433 nt
Filed under: uncultured bacterium
Lineage: Bacteria
Description: partial 16S ribosomal RNA
Rfam family: Bacterial small subunit ribosomal RNA
Source: RNAcentral
AACGAACGCUGGCGGCAUGCCUAACACAUGCAAGUCGAACGAGACCUUCGGGUCUAGUGGCGCACGGGUGCGUAACGCGUGGGAACCUGCCCUUAGGUUCGGAAUAACUCCCCGAAAGGGGUGCUAAUACCGGAUAAUGUCUUCGGACCAAAGAUUUAUCGCCUUUGGAUGGGCCCGCGUUGGAUUAGCUAGUUGGUAGGGUAAAAGCCUACCAAGGCGACGAUCCAUAGCUGGUCUGAGAGGAUGAUCAGCCACACUGGGACUGAGACACGGCCCAGACUCCUACGGGAGGCAGCAGUGGGGAAUAUUGGACAAUGGGCGAAAGCCUGAUCCAGCAAUGCCGCGUGAGCGAUGAAGGCCUUAGGGUUGUAAAGCUCUUUUACCCGGGAUGAUAAUGACAGUACCGGGAGAAUAAGCUCCAGCUAACUCCGUG